UGGGGAAUUUUGGACAAUGGGCGCAAGCCUGAUCCAGCCAUGCCGCGUGCGGGAUGAAGGCCUUCGGGUUGUAAACCGCUUUUGUCAGGGAAGAAACGCUCUGGGCUAAUACCCCGGGGUAAUGACGGUACCUGAAGAAUAAGCACCGGCUAACUACGUGCCAGCAGCCGCGGUAAUACGUAGGGUGCAAGCGUUAAUCGGAAUUACUGGGCGUAAAGCGUGCGCAGGCGGUCUUGUAAGACAGAGGUGAAAUCCCCGGGCUCAACCUGGGAACUGCCUUUGUGACUGCAAGGCUUGAGUGCGGCAGAGGGGGAUGGAAUUCCGCGUGUAGCAGUGAAAUGCGUAGAUAUGCGGAGGAACACCGAUGGCGAAGGCAAUCCCCUGGGCCUGCACUGACGCU
Molecule: ribosomal RNA, 400 nt
Filed under: uncultured bacterium
Lineage: Bacteria
Description: bacterial SSU rRNA
Rfam family: Bacterial small subunit ribosomal RNA
Source: RNAcentral